RNAcentral lists this ribosomal RNA (660 nucleotides) under uncultured bacterium. RNAcentral describes it as "bacterial SSU rRNA". It matches the Rfam family "Bacterial small subunit ribosomal RNA", at positions 94 to 788 of the family's 1533-position model. The record is from RNAcentral.
AGUGGCGGACGGGUGAGUAACGCGUGAGACUCUGCCUUGGGGUCGGGGACAACCACUGGAAACGGUGGCUAAUACCGGAUACGCCUUCGGGUAAAAGAUUUAUUGCCCUAAGAGGAGCUCGCGUCUGAUUAGCUAGUUGGUGAGGUAAGAGCUCACCAAGGCAGCGAUCAGUAGCUGGUCUGAGAGGACGAUCAGCCACACUGGGACUGAGACACGGCCCAGACUCCUACGGGAGGCAGCAGUGGGGAAUUUUCCGCAAUGGGCGAAAGCCUGACGGAGCAAGACCGCGUGAGGGAGGAAGGCUCUUGGGUUGUAAACCUCUUUUCUCAGGGAAGAAGCUCUGACGGUACCUGAGGAAUCAGCCUCGGCUAACUCCGUGCCAGCAGCCGCGGUAAUACGGAGGAGGCAAGCGUUAUCCGGAAUUAUUGGGCGUAAAGCGUCCGCAGGUGGCGAUUCAAGUCUGCUGUCAAAGCACGGGGCUUAACUCCGUAAAGGCAGUGGAAACUGAAUAGCUAGAGUGCCGUAGGGGUAGAGGGAAUUCCCGGUGUAGCGGUGAAAUGCGUAGAGAUCGGGAAGAACAUCGGUGGCGAAAGCGCUCUACUGGACGGCAACUGACACUCAGGGACGAAAGCUAGGGGAGCGAAUGGGAUUAGAUACCCC